Podarcis raffonei (Aeolian wall lizard) is the source of this 977-nucleotide long non-coding RNA. RefSeq lists it as uncharacterized. The record is from RefSeq and is a predicted model, not a curated record. The transcript is spliced from 2 exons. NCBI's taxonomy places the organism in Eukaryota, Metazoa, Chordata, Lepidosauria, Squamata, Lacertidae.
UUUUCCUUCUAGCUGCUUGUGGCCCAUCUUGGGGGUUGAUGAGGUUGACCUUGAAGAAGCCCUUCACUCUCAUCCUGAUGUUGUUGGGGGAUAAACUAAGAGGCCAUCAAGGACCCCAGAGAUGAGAGGCAAGAGGCUCAACUUCUCCUGUCUUGCCCUUGUUGCAAAGUGCCUUCCUGGCGCCUGCUUCCCUGCUAUCACCCCCCCCCCCAGCUGGGCCCCACACACCUCCGUGCUGAGCCAGGCCUUCAAGGGCACGUGCCAAGGUUGCUCUCCUCCCCAAGGCAAACCAGCUGAAUCUCAGAAGCAGCCGGUUCCCACAGGGCAAAGUGCCAGCAGAGGCACCUGAGCUUCCUGCUGGGGGAGGAGGGGGCCAAGGAGCGCCAGAGCCAUGGAAGGAGGCCCUGGGGGCCCAGCCUCACGGGAGAUGAUGGCACCUGUUCUGUGGCUGCAGAGGACUCCAGGUCCACCGCUGUGCCCGACUGAGCUGGGGGACCAACAGGACUGACUGGCAAGAGGUCUUUGCCUCCACUCUCAUUUAGCCAGACCCAGACCCACCCAUGCAGGCCUUGGGGUGGUGCUGAUCAGGCCCAGGGAGAGCAGGGCAGCUGGCUCUGCGUGAAGCGAGGGAGCAGGGAGCUGGCUAAUCAUUAAGCCCCACAGCGUCUGUUUUCUGGCCAGAAGCCUAGAGGAGAGAGGGAGGGGGCAGCCUUCACCGCCAGCCUUUACCUGCAUAGCUCCAGUGACGGUUUCCAUGGCCAGGAGGAAGACCUGGAAAGAGAAAGGAAAGCCAGGGAUCAGGAAGUCUGAAGGUUCUCCAGCAAGGCUCAACCGCUGCUCCCAUCCUCCUGGAUAUGGCUGGUGGGAAAGAAACACACACCUCUGGUUUAUACAAGCCAACUGCACCCUGAACUGGAGGUUCUUCCCAGACCCUUGCUUCAUUAUUUGUAUAUACAAUAAAAUAAUGCCAGAUUUCA